UAAGACAGAGGGUGCAAACGUUGUUCGGAAUUACUGGGCGUAAAGCGCGUGUAGGCGGCUCGGCAAGUCGGGUGUGAAAGCCCUGGGCUCAACCCAGGAAGUGCAUUCGAAACUGCCGAGCUGGAGUCCCGGAGAGGAAGGCGGAAUUCUCGGUGUAGAGGUGAAAUUCGUAGAUAUCGAGAGGAACACCGGUGGCGAAGGCGGCCUUCUGGACGGCGACUGACGCUGAGACGCGAAAGCGUGGGGAGCAAACAGGA
This 257-nucleotide ribosomal RNA is filed under the name uncultured prokaryote. Its description in RNAcentral is "partial 16S ribosomal RNA". It matches the Rfam family "Bacterial small subunit ribosomal RNA", at positions 521 to 777 of the family's 1533-position model. The record is from RNAcentral.